RNAcentral lists this transfer RNA (70 nucleotides) under Ictidomys tridecemlineatus (thirteen-lined ground squirrel). Its description in RNAcentral is "Spermophilus tridecemlineatus (thirteen-lined ground squirrel) tRNA". It matches the Rfam family "tRNA". From Rfam's summary of the family: Transfer RNA (tRNA) molecules are approximately 80 nucleotides in length. Their secondary structure includes four short double-helical elements and three loops (D, anti-codon, and T loops). Further hydrogen bonds mediate the characteristic L-shaped molecular structure. tRNAs have two regions of fundamental functional importance: the anti-codon, which is responsible for specific mRNA codon recognition, and the 3' end, to which the tRNAs corresponding amino acid is attached (by aminoacyl-tRNA synthetases). tRNAs cope with the degeneracy of the genetic code in two manners: having more than one tRNA (with a specific anti-codon) for a particular amino acid; and 'wobble' base-pairing, i.e. permitting non-standard base-pairing at the 3rd anti-codon position. Lineage: Eukaryota; Metazoa; Chordata; Mammalia; Rodentia; Sciuridae. The record is from Rfam by way of RNAcentral.
GGGGUUGUGGCUCGGUGGUAGAGCAUUUGCCUGGCAUGCAUAAGGCACUGGGUUCUGAUCCCCAUCCCCC